RNAcentral lists this small RNA (98 nucleotides) under Streptococcus pneumoniae. RNAcentral describes it as "ncRNA of unknown function". Lineage: Bacteria; Bacillati; Bacillota; Bacilli; Lactobacillales; Streptococcaceae. The record is from RNAcentral.
ACAAGUUAAUACAAGGUGAGUGUUACUAAGUAAUAUUAGGCAUGAUCACAGGUGAAUUAGAAAUCAGCUGAUUUUCUAGUUCAUUUGUGGUCAUUUUU